RNAcentral lists this ribosomal RNA (427 nucleotides) under uncultured bacterium. Its description in RNAcentral is "partial 16S ribosomal RNA". It matches the Rfam family "Bacterial small subunit ribosomal RNA", at positions 355 to 774 of the family's 1533-position model. The record is from RNAcentral.
UGGGGAAUAUUGCACAAUGGGCGCAAGCCUGAUGCAGCCAUGCCGCGUGUAUGAAGAAGGCCUUCGGGUUGUAAAGUACUUUCAGCGAGGAGGAAGGCGUUGUGGUUAAUAACCGCAGCGAUUGACGUUACUCGCAGAAGAAGCACCGGCUAACUCCGUGCCAGCAGCCGCGGUAAUACGGAGGGUGCAAGCGUUAAUCGGAAUUACUGGGCGUAAAGCGCACGCAGGCGGUCUGUCAAGUCGGAUGUGAAAUCCCCGGGCUCAACCUGGGAACUGCAUCCGAAACUGGCAGGCUAGAGUCAUGUAGAGGGGGGUAGAAUUCCAGGUGUAGCGGUGAAAUGCGUAGAGAUCUGGAGGAAUACCGGUGGCGAAGGCGGCCCCCUGGACAAAGACUGACGCUCAGGUGCGAAAGCGUGGGGAGCAAACA